Molecule: small RNA, 169 nt
Filed under: human gut metagenome
Description: Bacteroidales-1 6S-Bacteroidales RNA suggested
Rfam family: Bacteroidales-1 6S-Bacteroidales RNA suggested
Source: RNAcentral
CUGAUUGGGAUACUCUUCAAACUUAAUGAAAUCCCGAGUAAGCGCCCUUUUUCCAAUGGCGGGCCUCGACCGAAAGGUGUAUCUUCGGAUACCGGAGGAUUACAAAGGUGUGGGUGCCCUCAAAUCCUGUAUUUAUCGGAGUUUCAUCACAUCCCUUUGAUGUGGCUUC